Molecule: ribosomal RNA, 497 nt
Filed under: uncultured bacterium
Lineage: Bacteria
Description: partial 16S ribosomal RNA
Rfam family: Bacterial small subunit ribosomal RNA
Source: RNAcentral
GAUGAACGCUGGCGGCGUGCCUACUACAUGCAAGUCGAGCGAACGGACGAGAAGCUUGCUUCUCUGAUGUUAGCGGCGGACGGGUGAGUAACACGUGGAUAACCUACCUAUAAGACUGGGAUAACUUCGGGAAACCGGAGCUAAUACCGGAUAAUAUUUUGAACCGCAUGGUUCAAAAGUGAAAGACGGUCUUGCUGUCACUUAUAGAUGGAUCCGCGCUGCAUUAGCUAGUUGGUAAGGUAACGGCUUACCAAGGCAACGAUGCAUAGCCGACCUGAGGGGGUGAUCGGCCACACUGGAACUGAGACACGGUCCAGACUCCUACGGGAGGCAGCAGUAGGGAAUCUUCCGCAAUGGGCGAAAGCCUGACGGAGCAACGCCGCGUGAGUGAUGAAGGUCUUCGGAUCGUAAAACUCUGUUAUUAGGGAAGAACAUAUGUGUAAGUAACUGUGCACAUCUUGACGGUACCUAAUCAGAAAGCCACGGCUAACUACGUG